CCUACGGGUGGCAGCAGUGAGGAAUAUUGGUCAAUUGACGAGAGUCUGAACCAGCCAAGUAGCGUGAAGGAUGACUGCCCUAUGGGUUGUAAACUUCUUUUAUAUGGGAAUAAAAUUUUCCACGUGUGGGAUUUUGUAUGUACCAUAUGAAUAAGGAUCGGCUAACUCCGUGCCAGCAGCCGCGGUAAUACGGAGGAUCCGAGCGUUAUCCGGAUUUAUUGGGUUUAAAGGGUGCGUAGGUGGAUUGUUAAGUCAGUUGUGAAAGUUUGUGGCUCAACCGUAAAAUUGCAGUUGAAACUGGCAGUCUUGAGUACAGUAGAGGUGGGCGGAAUGCGUGGUGUAGCGGUGAAAUGCUUAGAUAUCACGAAGAACUCCGAUUGCGAAGGCAGCUUACUGGACUGCAACUGACACUGAGGCACGAAAGCGUGGGUAUCAAACAGGAUUAGAUACCCGGGUAGUC
Molecule: ribosomal RNA, 460 nt
Filed under: uncultured bacterium
Lineage: Bacteria
Description: partial 16S ribosomal RNA
Rfam family: Bacterial small subunit ribosomal RNA
Source: RNAcentral